Mandrillus leucophaeus (drill) is the source of this 495-nucleotide long non-coding RNA. RefSeq lists it as uncharacterized. Lineage: Eukaryota; Metazoa; Chordata; Mammalia; Primates; Cercopithecidae. The record is from RefSeq and is a predicted model, not a curated record. The transcript is spliced from 2 exons.
CUCACCUGUUCUUUCCAGGACAAAUCCUCUGCCAGGUUUCUGCCUCAGGACACCCAAGCUCAGCACAGACAGCCUAGCAGCCUGGGUGACAGGAUCCCGGCGGACAGGAUUCUCUCCUUGCCAGAGAGAUGAGGACAAAUUCUCCCUUCAUCCUUGAGAUUGGACUCCCGUCACACAUCCUGGAGGAGCCUACAGAGAAGCCGGCAGGUCUCCCUCACCUGGACAGUGGCAGCCGGUGGCCCGGACCACCCAGAGGCCCUCCCCUGCACCUGAUGGGACAGCCCCUGGGGCAUAAGUCUCCCCUGCCACUUCCACUGUGGCCACUAGAACUGUGGUGGAGAAAAUCGCUAGGACACAAAGAAGUCAAUGAUUUCAACAAACGGAAUUUCUUUGUUCUUUGUAAAAGUCAACACAUGAUCUGUUACUGAUUGGGAUGUGAAAUAAAACUAAAAAUAACAGCACACUGAGCCUGGCUCAGAGCUCAGCUCACCUUUA